Molecule: non-coding RNA, 31 nt
Filed under: Homo sapiens (human)
Lineage: Eukaryota; Metazoa; Chordata; Mammalia; Primates; Hominidae
Source: RNAcentral
UGGAUGAACCUUCCUUCCUCCUUGCCGAUAA